AGUGAACGCUGGCGGUAGGCCUAACACAUGCAAGUCGAACGGCAGCACAGUAAGAGCUUGCUCUUACGGGUGGCGAGUGGCGGACGGGUGAGGAAUACAUCGGAAUCUACUUUUUCGUGGGGGAUAACGUAGGGAAACUUACGCUAAUACCGCAUACGACCUACGGGUGAAAGCAGGGGAUCUUCGGACCUUGCGCGAUUGAAUGAGCCGAUGUCGGAUUAGCUAGUUGGCGGGGUAAAGGCCCACCAAGGCGACGAUCCGUAGCUGGUCUGAGAGGAUGAUCAGCCACACUGGAACUGAGACACGGUCCAGACUCCUACGGGAGGCAGCAGUGGGGAAUAUUGGACAAUGGGCGCAAGCCUGAUCCAGCCAUACCGCGUGGGUGAAGAAGGCCUUCGGGUUGUAAAGCCCUUUUGUUGGGAAAGAAAAGCAGCAGGUUAAUACCACGCUGUUCUGACGGUACCCAAAGGAUAAGCACCGGCUAACUUCGUG
RNAcentral lists this ribosomal RNA (492 nucleotides) under uncultured bacterium. RNAcentral's name for it is "partial 16S ribosomal RNA". It matches the Rfam family "Bacterial small subunit ribosomal RNA", at positions 29 to 507 of the family's 1533-position model. The record is from RNAcentral.